RNAcentral lists this ribosomal RNA (376 nucleotides) under uncultured Pantoea sp. Its description in RNAcentral is "bacterial SSU rRNA". It matches the Rfam family "Bacterial small subunit ribosomal RNA", at positions 523 to 898 of the family's 1533-position model. The record is from RNAcentral. Lineage: Bacteria; Pseudomonadati; Pseudomonadota; Gammaproteobacteria; Enterobacterales; Erwiniaceae.
AUACGGAGGGUGCAAGCGUUAAUCGGAAUUACUGGGCGUAAAGCGCACGCAGGCGGUCUGUCAAGUCGGAUGUGAAAUCCCCGGGCUUAACCUGGGAACUGCAUUCGAAACUGGCAGGCUAGAGUCUUGUAGAGGGGGGUAGAAUUCCAGGUGUAGCGGUGAAAUGCGUAGAGAUCUGGAGGAAUACCGGUGGCGAAGGCGGCCCCCUGGACAAAGACUGACGCUCAGGUGCGAAAGCGUGGGGAGCAAACAGGAUUAGAUACCCUGGUAGUCCACGCCGUAAACGAUGUCGACUUGGAGGCUGUUUCCUUGAGAAGUGGCUUCCGGAGCUAACGCGUUAAGUCGACCGCCUGGGGAGUACGGCCGCAAGGUUAAA